Long non-coding RNA from Papilio xuthus (Asian swallowtail), 572 nucleotides. RefSeq lists it as uncharacterized. The transcript has 3 exons. Lineage: Eukaryota; Metazoa; Arthropoda; Insecta; Lepidoptera; Papilionidae. The record is from RefSeq and is a predicted model, not a curated record.
UUGAUUUUGUGUUGUUAUUAUUAAUACUUAUAGAGUCAUAAUUAUAAUUUCUAUUCAGGCGUAUUACUGUAAUAAUCUAAAUUGAAGCAUUUCAAGGCACUGAAGUCUAUUAUUAAUUAAGUAUGAAUAUUAAUUCAAUAACUGUAUCAAAGAUAUGUGAAAGAAGGGAAUUCAUUGAAACAUACUGCGCUGAUCCUACAUAGGGAAAAAGACAGACACGUAAUGAUCAAGUUAACAGGAUACAUGAAAACUGUUACAUUUUAAAGAUUGAAUUUGUAACAAGAUAUUAAAAGAUGUAAAAAUGAUGCAAACCAGAGAGAGAGAGAGACAGUGGCAGGGACAAAAAAACUCCUUAACUCUUAGAAUGGAAAAUAAUCAUCCCCUGAUGAUGAUUAUAGAUUUUAAGGCAUUAAAAGAGGACUUUGGCUUGUGGUUUUUCUAGUUAAUUAUUUGACUAGAACAUCCGGUAAACAAUCAAUACUUUUUGGUCAAAUUAAUUAGCUGUCGGCUUUGUGUAAAUCUUUUGUCCAUGUUUAAAUUUGAUAAAAUUUGGUGUUGCCAGGUUAAAUUUA